AUAUAUAUAAACUGGAUAUACAUAUACGACGGAAUGAUUUCUUGAACAGACCUACUUCAAAGGAAUGAAACGAGAGCUGUGAGUAGCACCGAUACCAGGGCGACCGUGCUUGGUAGGUUUGUAGGUAAUGGAAAACUCACCCAAGUAGUGGCCGAUCAUUUCAGGGCGAAUUUCGACCUGGUUGAAGAGCUUACCGUUGUAGAUACCAACAACAGAACCAACCAUCUCGGGAAGGAUGAUCAUGUUACGCAAGUGAGUCUUGACGGUUGCAGGCUUCUCAUUGAGAGGAGCCUCAGACUUGGCCUUACGAAGCUUUCUGAUAAAACGAGAAGCAUUAGGUCCAAGGCCACGGAGCAUACGACGACGAGCACGAGCAUGGAACAAGUCAACCAACUGCUCAGCAGAGAGGUCCAAAAGUUGUUCAAGCUCGACGCCACGAUAGGCGAAGGUACGGAAGGUUCUCUUCUUCCUAAGUUCAGCGACACGAACGGCCUCGUCGUGAUUUUCCUCUGCCAUGGUGUUAAUCAAGGUAUUGAAUGCUAAACCAAUUUCGUUGUUCUCUUGAAACGUUGUGACUGUCUUU
Molecule: non-coding RNA, 583 nt
Organism: Schizosaccharomyces pombe (fission yeast)
Lineage: Eukaryota; Fungi; Ascomycota; Schizosaccharomycetes; Schizosaccharomycetales; Schizosaccharomycetaceae
Source: the annotation of a GenBank genome assembly